Molecule: transfer RNA, 72 nt
Filed under: Ovis aries (sheep)
Lineage: Eukaryota; Metazoa; Chordata; Mammalia; Artiodactyla; Bovidae
Rfam family: tRNA
About the family: Transfer RNA (tRNA) molecules are approximately 80 nucleotides in length.
Source: Rfam by way of RNAcentral
UUCCUGGUGGCUCAGGUGGUAAAGAAUCUGCCUGCAAUGCAGGAAACCUGGAUUCAAAUCCUGGUUGGGAAG